ACUAACAAGGAUUCCCCUAGUAACUGCGAGUGAAGCGGGAAAAGCUCAAAUUUAAAAUCUGGUGGUCUUUGGCCUCCGAGUUGUAAUUUAGAGAAGCGUUUUCCGCGCUGGACCGUGCACAAGUCUCCUGGAAUGGAGCGUCAUAGAGGGUGAGAAUCCCGUCUUUGGCAUGGACACACCAGGGCUUUUGUGAUGCGCUCUCGAAGAGUCGAGUUGUUUGGGAAUGCAGCUCAAAAUGGGUGGUGAACUCCAUCUAAAGCUAAAUAUUGGCGAGAGACCGAUAGCGAACAAGUACCGUGAGGGAAAGAUGAAAAGCACUUUGGAAAGAGAGUGAAACAGUACGUGAAAUUGUUGAAAGGGAAACGCUUGAAGUCAGUCGCGUCGACCGAGACUCAGCCUUGCCUCGGCUUGGUGUACUUCUCGGCUGACGGGUCAGCAUCAAUUUUGCCCCUUGGAUAAUGGCGAGGGAAAUGUGACACCUUUACGGUGUGUUAUAGUCUCUCGUCGCAUGCAAGGGUUGGGAUUGAGGAACUCAGCACGCACCUUUGGGUGUCGGGGCUUUGCCCACGAUACGUGCUCAGGAUGUUGGCGUAAUGGCUUUAAACGACCCGUCUUGAAACACGGACCAAGGAGUCUAACAUGCCUGCGAGUGUUCGGGUGGAAAACCCGUGCGCGCAAUGAAAGUGAAAGUUGGGACCUCUGUCGUGGAGGGCACCGACGCCCGGACCAGACCUUCUGUGACGGCUCUGCGGUAAAGCAUGUAUGUUAGGACCCGAAAGAUGGUGAACUAUGCCUGAAUAGGGUGAAGCCAGAGGAAACUCUGGUGGAGGCUCGUAGCGAUUCUGACGUGCAAAUCGAUCGUCAAAUUUGGGUAUAGGGGCGAAAGACUAAUCGAACCAU
This 900-nucleotide ribosomal RNA is filed under the name Russula sp. 1 LM-2010. RNAcentral's name for it is "LSU rRNA". It matches the Rfam family "Eukaryotic large subunit ribosomal RNA", at positions 64 to 943 of the family's 3401-position model. Lineage: Eukaryota; Fungi; Basidiomycota; Agaricomycetes; Russulales; Russulaceae. The record is from RNAcentral.